Molecule: non-coding RNA, 84 nt
Organism: Zea mays
Lineage: Eukaryota; Viridiplantae; Streptophyta; Magnoliopsida; Poales; Poaceae
Source: Rfam
CGGUCGAUGCCCGAGCGGUUAAUGGGGACAGACUGUAAAUUCGUUGACGAUAUGUCUACGCUGGUUCAAAUCCAGCUCGGCCCA